This 72-nucleotide transfer RNA is filed under the name Onishia taeanensis. RNAcentral describes it as "Halomonas taeanensis tRNA-Thr". It matches the Rfam family "tRNA". Rfam says of the family: Transfer RNA (tRNA) molecules are approximately 80 nucleotides in length. Their secondary structure includes four short double-helical elements and three loops (D, anti-codon, and T loops). The record is from RNAcentral. Lineage: Bacteria; Pseudomonadati; Pseudomonadota; Gammaproteobacteria; Oceanospirillales; Halomonadaceae.
GCUCGUGUAGCUCAGGGGUAGAGCACACCCUUGGUAAGGGUGAGGUCGGCGGUUCAAUUCCGCCCACGAGCU